GACGAACGCUGGCGGCGCGCCUAACACAUGCAAGUCGAACGAGCGAGAGAGAGCUUGCUUUCUCGAGCGAGUGGCGAACGGGUGAGUAAUGCGUGAGGAACCUGCCUCAAAGAGGGGGACAACAGUUGGAAACGACUGCUAAUACCGCAUAAGCCCACGACCCGGCAUCGGGUAGAGGGAAAAGGAGCAAUCCGCUUUGAGAUGGCCUCGCGUCCGAUUAGCUAGUUGGUGAGGUAACGGCCCACCAAGGCGACGAUCGGUAGCCGGACUGAGAGGUUGAACGGCCACAUUGGGACUGAGACACGGCCCAGACUCCUACGGGAGGCAGCAGUGGGGAAUAUUGCACAAUGGGGGAAACCCUGAUGCAGCGACGCCGCGUGGAGGAAGAAGGUCUUCGGAUUGUAAACUCCUGUUGUGGAGGAAGAUAAUGACGGUACUCAACAAGGAAGUGACGGCUAACUACGUG
Molecule: ribosomal RNA, 466 nt
Filed under: uncultured bacterium
Lineage: Bacteria
Description: partial 16S ribosomal RNA
Rfam family: Bacterial small subunit ribosomal RNA
Source: RNAcentral